Molecule: transfer RNA, 82 nt
Organism: Dacryopinax sp.
Lineage: Eukaryota; Fungi; Basidiomycota; Dacrymycetes; Dacrymycetales; Dacrymycetaceae
Rfam family: tRNA
About the family: Transfer RNA (tRNA) molecules are approximately 80 nucleotides in length.
Source: Rfam
GCCCGGCUUGCAUAAUCGGUAGUGCGUCAGACUCUUAUAUGGUGGGAUCUGAAGGUUGCGAGUUCGAGCCUCGCGUUGGGCU